GACGAACGCUGGCGGCGUGCUUAACACAUGCAAGUCGAAUGGAAAGGCCUGCUUUCCCUUGUGGAUUGCGGGUACUCGAGUGGCGAACGGGUGAGUAACACGUGAGUGAUCUGCCCCCAACUUGGGUAUAAGCCUGGGAAACUGGGUCUAAUUCCCGAUAGGACUGCAGGGUGGUGCCUGUGGUGGAAAACGAUUUUCUAGUGGUUGGGGAUGAGCUCGCGGCCUAUCAGCUUGUUGGUGGGGUAAUGGCCUACCAAGGCGGCGACGGGUAGCCGGCCUGGGAGGGUGGACGGCCACAUUGGGACUGAGAUACGGCCCAGACUCCUACGGGAGGCAGCAGUGGGGAAUAUUGCACAAUGGGCGGAAGCCUGAUGCAGCGACGCCGCGUGGGGGAUGACGGCCUUCGGGUUGUAAACUCCUUUCGACCGCGAGGAAGCCACCUGGUUGGAAGGGUGGUGACGGUAGUGGUAGAAGAAGCACCGGCUAACUACGUG
This 494-nucleotide ribosomal RNA is filed under the name uncultured bacterium. RNAcentral's name for it is "partial 16S ribosomal RNA". It matches the Rfam family "Bacterial small subunit ribosomal RNA", at positions 28 to 507 of the family's 1533-position model. The record is from RNAcentral.